GACGAACGCUGGCGGCGUGCCUAAUACAUGCAAGUAGAACGCUGAAGGAGGAGCUUGCUUCUCUGGAUGAGUUGCGAACGGGUGAGUAACGCGUAGGUAACCUGCCUGGUAGCGGGGGAUAACUAUUGGAAACGAUAGCUAAUACCGCAUAAGAGUAGAUGUUGCAUGACAUUUGCUUAAAAGGUGCAAUUGCAUCACUACCAGAUGGACCUGCGUUGUAUUAGCUAGUUGGUGGGGUAACGGCUUACCAAGGCGACGAUACAUAGCCGACCUGAGAGGGUGAUCGGCCACACUGGGACUGGGACACGGCUCAGACUCCUACGGGAGGCAGCAGUAGGGAAUCUUCGGCAAGGGACGGAAGUCUGACCGAGCAACGCCGCGUGAGUGAAGAAGGUUUUCGGAUCGUAAAGCUCUGUUGUAAGAGAAGAACGAGUGUGAGAGUGGAAAGUUCACACUGUGACGGUAUCUUACCAGAAAGGGACGGCUAACUACGUG
Molecule: ribosomal RNA, 495 nt
Filed under: uncultured bacterium
Lineage: Bacteria
Description: partial 16S ribosomal RNA
Rfam family: Bacterial small subunit ribosomal RNA
Source: RNAcentral